UCCGGAUUAGCUCAGUUGGUAGAGCAGUUGACUGUUAAUCAAUUUGUCACUGGUUCGAGUCCAGUAUCCGGAG
This 73-nucleotide transfer RNA is filed under the name Chlamydiales bacterium SCGC AB-751-O23. It matches the Rfam family "tRNA". From Rfam's summary of the family: Transfer RNA (tRNA) molecules are approximately 80 nucleotides in length. Their secondary structure includes four short double-helical elements and three loops (D, anti-codon, and T loops). Further hydrogen bonds mediate the characteristic L-shaped molecular structure. tRNAs have two regions of fundamental functional importance: the anti-codon, which is responsible for specific mRNA codon recognition, and the 3' end, to which the tRNAs corresponding amino acid is attached (by aminoacyl-tRNA synthetases). tRNAs cope with the degeneracy of the genetic code in two manners: having more than one tRNA (with a specific anti-codon) for a particular amino acid; and 'wobble' base-pairing, i.e. permitting non-standard base-pairing at the 3rd anti-codon position. The record is from Rfam by way of RNAcentral. RNAcentral also lists the same sequence under 2 other names. Lineage: Bacteria; Pseudomonadati; Chlamydiota; Chlamydiia; Chlamydiales.